RNAcentral lists this ribosomal RNA (427 nucleotides) under uncultured bacterium. RNAcentral's name for it is "bacterial SSU rRNA". It matches the Rfam family "Bacterial small subunit ribosomal RNA", at positions 355 to 774 of the family's 1533-position model. The record is from RNAcentral.
UGGGGAAUUUUGGACAAUGGACGCAAGUCUGAUCCAGCCAUGCCGCGUGCGGGAAGAAGGCCUUCGGGUUGUAAACCGCUUUUGUCAGGGAAGAAACGAGUUUCUCUAAUACAGAGACUUAAUGACGGUACCUGAAGAAUACGCACCGGCUAACUACGUGCCGGCAGCCGCGGUAAUACGUAGGGUGCGAGCGUUAAUCGGAAUUACUGGGCGUAAAGCGUGCGCAGGCGGUGAUGUAAGACAGAUGUGAAAUCCCCGGGCUCAACCUGGGACCUGCAUUUGUGACUGCAUCGCUGGAGUGCGGCAGAGGGGGAUGGAAUUCCGCGUGUAGCAGUGAAAUGCGUAGAUAUGCGGAGGAACACCGAUGGCGAAGGCAAUCCCCUGGGCCAGUACUGACGCUCAUGCACGAAAGCGUGGGGAGCAAACA